This 234-nucleotide ribosomal RNA is filed under the name uncultured bacterium. RNAcentral's name for it is "partial 16S ribosomal RNA". It matches the Rfam family "Bacterial small subunit ribosomal RNA", at positions 15 to 244 of the family's 1533-position model. The record is from RNAcentral.
GAUCAUGGCUCAGGACGAACGCUGGCGGCGCGCCUAACACAUGCAAGUCGAACGAGAGACGAGGAGCUUGCUCUUCAAAUCGAGUGGCGAACGGGUGAGUAACGCGUGAGGAACCUGCCUCAAAGAGGGGGACAACAGUUGGAAACGACUGCUAAUACCGCAUAAGCCCACGGCUCGGCAUCGAGCAGGGGGAAAAGGAGCAAUCCGCUUUGAGAUGGCCUCGCGUCCGAUUAG